UAAAAUCUUCAGGGCAGGGUGCAAUUCCCUAUCGGUGGUAAAGCCCACGAGCCGCAAGGCAUGAUUUGGUGAAAUUCCAAAGCCGGCAGUAAAAGUCUGAAUAAAAGAAGAGUAAA
RNAcentral lists this non-coding RNA (116 nucleotides) under Ruminococcaceae bacterium CPB6. Its description in RNAcentral is "FMN riboswitch aptamer (RFN element)". It matches the Rfam family "FMN riboswitch aptamer (RFN element)". Rfam says of the family: The RFN element is a highly conserved domain that is found frequently in the 5'-untranslated regions of prokaryotic mRNAs that encode for flavin mononucleotide (FMN) biosynthesis and transport proteins. This element is a metabolite-dependent riboswitch that directly binds FMN in the absence of proteins. In Bacillus subtilis, the riboswitch most likely controls gene expression by causing premature transcription termination within the 5' untranslated region of the ribDEAHT operon and precluding access to the ribosome-binding site of ypaA mRNA. The record is from Rfam by way of RNAcentral. Lineage: Bacteria; Bacillati; Bacillota; Clostridia; Eubacteriales; Oscillospiraceae. RNAcentral also lists the same sequence under 1 other name.